UAGGGAAUAUUAGUAAUGGGCGAAAGCCUGAACUAGCAACACCGCGUGUGCGAAGAAGGCCUUCGGGAUGUAAAGCCCUGUUGUAUGGGAAGAGCGGAAGACGGUACCAUACGAGGAAGCCCCGGCAAACUACGUGCCAGCAGCCGCGGUAAUACGUAGGAGGCUAGCGUUAUCCGGAUUUAUUGGGCGUAAAGCGCGUGCAGGCGGUCUGAUAAGUUGGAUGUGAAAGCUCCUGGCUUAACUGGGAGAGGUCGUUCAAAACUAUCAGACUUGAGAGUGGUAGAGGGAGGUGGAAUUCCGCAUGUAGUGGUGAAAUGCGUAGAUAUGCGGAGGAACACCAGUGGCGAAAGCGGCCUCCUGGCCCAUUUCUGACACUCAGACGCGAAAGCUAGGGUAGCAAACG
This 403-nucleotide ribosomal RNA is filed under the name uncultured prokaryote. Its description in RNAcentral is "bacterial SSU rRNA". It matches the Rfam family "Bacterial small subunit ribosomal RNA", at positions 355 to 774 of the family's 1533-position model. The record is from RNAcentral.